This 252-nucleotide ribosomal RNA is filed under the name uncultured bacterium. RNAcentral's name for it is "partial 16S ribosomal RNA". It matches the Rfam family "Bacterial small subunit ribosomal RNA", at positions 84 to 339 of the family's 1533-position model. The record is from RNAcentral.
GAUGCUGACGAGUGGCGAACGGGUGAGUAAUAUAUCGGAACGUGCCCAGUCGUGGGGGAUAACGCAGCGAAAGCUGUGCUAAUACCGCAUACGACCUACGGGUGAAAGCAGGGGAUCUUCGGACCUUGCGUUAUUAGAGCGGCCGAUGUUAGAUUAGGUAGUUGGUGAGGUAAAGGCUCACCAAGCCUACGAUCUAUAGCUGGUCUGAGAGGACGACCAGCCACACUGGAACUGAGACACGGUCCAGACUCC